RNAcentral lists this non-coding RNA (23 nucleotides) under Drosophila melanogaster (fruit fly). Lineage: Eukaryota; Metazoa; Arthropoda; Insecta; Diptera; Drosophilidae. The record is from RNAcentral.
UCAUCUAGAUAUUAAGGACUGGG